This 467-nucleotide ribosomal RNA is filed under the name uncultured bacterium. RNAcentral describes it as "partial 16S ribosomal RNA". It matches the Rfam family "Bacterial small subunit ribosomal RNA", at positions 28 to 507 of the family's 1533-position model. The record is from RNAcentral.
GAUGAACGCUGGCGGCGUGCUUAACACAUGCAAGUCGAACGAUGAUGCCCAGCUUGCUGGGUGGGUUAGUGGCGAACGGGUGAGUAACACGUGAGUAACCUGCCCUUGACUCUGGGAUAAGCCUGGGAAACUGGGUCUAAUACCGGAUACGACCAUCUGGCGCAUGUCAUGGGGGUGGAAAGCUUUCGUGGUUUGGGAUGGACUCGCGGCCUAUCAGCUUGUUGGUGGGGUAAUGGCCUACCAAGGCGACGACGGGUAGCCGGCCUGAGAGGGUGACCGGCCACACUGGGACUGAGACACGGCCCAGACUCCUACGGGAGGCAGCAGUGGGGAAUAUUGCACAAUGGGCGCAAGCCUGAUGCAGCGACGCCGCGUGAGGGAUGACGGCCUUCGGGUUGUAAACCUCUUUCAGUAGGGAAGAAGCGAAAGUGACGGUACCUGCAGAAGAAGCGCCGGCUAACUACGUG